Molecule: ribosomal RNA, 231 nt
Filed under: uncultured crenarchaeote
Lineage: Archaea; Thermoproteati; Thermoproteota
Description: partial 16S ribosomal RNA
Rfam family: Archaeal small subunit ribosomal RNA
Source: RNAcentral
GCCGGCGUUAAGCCGGAGGAAGGUGGGGGCUACGGCAGGUCAGCAUGCCCCGAAACYCCCGGGCUACACGCGAGCUGCAAUGGCGGGGACAACGGGUACCGACCCCGNAAGGGGGAGGUAAUCCCUUAAACCCCGCCUCAGUAGGAAUCGAGGGCUGCAACUCGCCCUCGUGAACGUGGAAUCCCUAGUAACCGCGCGUCACCAACGCGCGGUGAAUACGUCCCUGCUCCU